ACUUUUAAAUUGAAGAGUUUGAUCAUGGCUCAGAUUGAACGCUGGCGGCAGGCCUAACACAUGCAAGUCGAACGGUAACAGGAAGCAGCUUGCUGCUUUGCUGACGAGUGGCGGACGGGUGAGUAAUGUCUGGGAAACUGCCUGAUGGAGGGGGAUAACUACUGGAAACGGUAGCUAAUACCGCAUAACGUCGCAAGACCAAAGAGGGGGACCUUCGGGCCUCUUGCCAUCGGAUGUGCCCAGAUGGGAUUAGCUAGUAGGUGGGGUAACGGCUCACCUAGGCGACGAUCCCUAGCUGGUCUGAGAGGAUGACCAGCCACACUGGAACUGAGACACGGUCCAGACUCCUACGGGAGGCAGCAGUGGGGAAUAUUGCACAAUGGGCGCAAGCCUGAUGCAGCCAUGCCGCGUGUAUGAAGAAGGCCUUCGGGUUGUAAAGUACUUUCAGCGGGGAGGAAGGGAGUAAAGUUAAUACCUUUGCUCAUUGACGUUACCCGCAGAAGAAGCACCGGCUAACUCCGUGCCAGCAGCCGCGGUAAUACGGAGGGUGCAAGCGUUAAUCGGAAUUACUGGGCGUAAAGCGCACGCAGGCGGUUUGUUAAGUCAGAUGUGAAAUCCCCGGGCUCAACCUGGGAACUGCAUCUGAUACUGGCAAGCUUGAGUCUCGUAGAGGGGGGUAGAAUUCCAGGUGUAGCGGUGAAAUGCGUAGAGAUCUGGAGGAAUACCGGUGGCGAAGGCGGCCCCCUGGACGAAGACUGACGCUCAGGUGCGAAAGCGUGGGGAGCAAACAGGAUUAGAUACCCUGGUAGUCCACGCCGUAAACGAUGUCGACUUGGAGGUUGUGCCCUUGAGGCGUGGCUUCCGGAGCUAACGCGUUAAGUCGACCGCCUGGGGAGUACGGCCGCAAGGUUAAAACUCAAAUGAAUUGACGGGGGCCCGCACAAGCGGUGGAGCAUGUGGUUUAAUUCGAUGCAACGCGAAGAACCUUACCUGGUCUUGACAUCCACGGAAGUUUUCAGAGAUGAGAAUGUGCCUUCGGGAACCGUGAGACAGGUGCUGCAUGGCUGUCGUCAGCUCGUGUUGUGAAAUGUUGGGUUAAGUCCCGCAACGAGCGCAACCCUUAUCCUUUGUUGCCAGCGGUCCGGCCGGGAACUCAAAGGAGACUGCCAGUGAUAAACUGGAGGAAGGUGGGGAUGACGUCAAGUCAUCAUGGCCCUUACGACCAGGGCUACACACGUGCUACAAUGGCGCAUACAAAGAGAAGCGACCUCGCGAGAGCAAGCGGACCUCAUAAAGUGCGUCGUAGUCCGGAUUGGAGUCUGCAACUCGACUCCAUGAAGUCGGAAUCGCUAGUAAUCGUGGAUCAGAAUGCCACGGUGAAUACGUUCCCGGGCCUUGUACACACCGCCCGUCACACCAUGGGAGUGGGUUGCAAAAGAAGUAGGUAGCUUAACCUUCGGGAGGGCGCUUACCACUUUGUGAUUCAUGACUGGGGUGAAGUCGUAACAAGGUAACCGUAGGGGAACCUGCGGUUGGAUCACCUCCUUACCUUAAA
This 1555-nucleotide ribosomal RNA is filed under the name Escherichia coli. Its description in RNAcentral is "bacterial SSU rRNA". It matches the Rfam family "Bacterial small subunit ribosomal RNA". Lineage: Bacteria; Pseudomonadati; Pseudomonadota; Gammaproteobacteria; Enterobacterales; Enterobacteriaceae. The record is from RNAcentral.